UACGAAGGGGGCUAGCGUUGUUCGGAAUCACUGGGCGUAAAGGGCGCGUAGGCGGCCUGCUAAGUCGGAUGUGAAAUCCCUCGGCUCAACCGAGGAACUGCAUCCGAUACUGGCGGGCUUGAAUCCGGGAGAGGGAUGUGGAAUUCCAGGUGUAGCGGUGAAAUGCGUAGAUAUCUGGAGGAACACCGGUGGCGAAGGCGGCAUCCUGGACCGGUAUUGACGCUGAGGCGCGAAAGCUAGGGGAGCAAACGGG
Molecule: ribosomal RNA, 253 nt
Filed under: uncultured bacterium
Lineage: Bacteria
Description: partial 16S ribosomal RNA
Rfam family: Bacterial small subunit ribosomal RNA
Source: RNAcentral